ACUCGGCACACUAAACGUCAAGCUUGUCUUCGGCGCCGCCCACAUGGCCACACUAACCAAUGACCUCCUGACACGUCACAGACCCCAUCCUCCAGCCUGCUGCUGCCUCCGCCACGCGUCGCUGACCCGGAGCUGAAAGCACUGCGCGGCGCCGGAAUCUGGCGUCACUUCCACCACAGCGAUGGCGGCACAGGGAGCGUCUGCGGCGAUUGCGGCGGCAACUUCAGGGGUCGCGGGGGAGGGCGAGCCCGGGCCCGGGGAGAGUGCGGCGGUCGAGGGGACCGCCCCGUCCCCGGGCCGGGUCUCUCCGCCGACCCCGGCGCGCGGCGAGCCGGAAGUCACCGUGGAGAUCGGAGAAACGUACCUGUGCCGGCGUCCGGAUAGCACCUGGCAUUCUGCUGAAGUGAUCCAGUCUCGAGUGAAUGAUCAGGAGGGCCGAGAGGAAUUCUAUGUACACUACGUGGGCUUUAACCGGCGGCUAGACGAAUGGGUGGACAAGAACCGGCUGGCGCUGACCAAGACAGUGAAGGAUGCUGUGCAGAAGAACUCAGAGAAGUACCUGAGUGAGCUGGCUGAGCAGCCUGAGCGCAAGAUCACUCGCAACCAGAAGCGCAAGCAUGACGAAAUCAACCACGUGCAGAAGACCUAUGCAGAGAUGGACCCCACGACAGCAGCCUUGGAGAAGGAGCAUGAGGCGAUCACCAAGGUGAAGUACGUGGACAAGAUCCACAUCGGGAACUACGAAAUCGAUGCCUGGUACUUCUCGCCAUUCCCCGAAGACUAUGGGAAGCAGCCCAAGCUCUGGCUCUGCGAGUACUGCCUCAAGUACAUGAAAUACGAGAAGAGCUACCGCUUCCACUUGGGCCAGUGUCAGUGGCGGCAGCCCCCAGGGAAGGAAAUCUAUCGCAAGAGCAACAUCUCUGUGUAUGAGGUAGACGGCAAGGACCACAAGAUUUACUGCCAGAACCUGUGUCUGCUGGCCAAGCUCUUCCUGGACCACAAGACAUUGUACUUUGACGUGGAGCCCUUCGUCUUUUACAUCUUGACUGAGGUGGACAGGCAGGGGGCCCACAUCGUCGGCUACUUCUCUAAGGAGAAGGAGUCUCCAGAUGGGAACAAUGUGGCCUGCAUCCUGACCCUGCCUCCCUACCAGCGCCGUGGAUACGGAAAGUUCCUCAUUGCUUUCAGUUAUGAGCUAUCCAAGCUCGAGAGCACGGUAGGCUCACCUGAGAAGCCGCUGUCUGACCUGGGCAAGCUCAGCUACCGCAGCUACUGGUCUUGGGUCCUGCUGGAGAUCCUGCGAGACUUCCGGGGCACACUGUCCAUCAAGGACCUUAGCCAGAUGACCAGCAUCACCCAGAAUGACAUCAUCAGCACCCUACAGUCCCUCAACAUGGUCAAGUACUGGAAGGGCCAGCACGUGAUCUGUGUCACACCCAAGCUGGUAGAGGAACACCUCAAAAGUGCCCAGUAUAAGAAACCACCCAUCACAGUGGACUCUGUCUGCCUCAAGUGGGCACCCCCCAAGCACAAGCAAGUCAAACUCUCCAAGAAGUGAGUGGCCUCUGCCCCUGCUGCUGGACCAUGCCUCUUUGCCCCCUAGCCUGUAAAUAUGUACAGACCUGUUUCAUCAUUUUUUUAAUAAAUUGGUACCUUGGGAAGCAGUGAGCAGCCGACAGCACCCACUCCUCAGACACAAGAGAACCGCCACACACAUGGGUGCCGUCAUAGGUGA
Molecule: non-coding RNA, 1735 nt
Organism: Ceratotherium simum simum (southern white rhinoceros)
Lineage: Eukaryota; Metazoa; Chordata; Mammalia; Perissodactyla; Rhinocerotidae
Source: RefSeq, a predicted model, not a curated record